Molecule: ribosomal RNA, 491 nt
Filed under: uncultured bacterium
Lineage: Bacteria
Description: bacterial SSU rRNA
Rfam family: Bacterial small subunit ribosomal RNA
Source: RNAcentral
GAUGAACGCUAGCUACAGGCUUAACACAUGCAAGUCGAGGGGCAUCAGGAAGAAAGCUUGCUUUCUUUGCUGGCGACCGGCGCACGGGUGAGUAACACGUAUCCAACCUGCCCUUUACUCGGGGAUAGCCUUUCGAAAGAAAGAUUAAUACCCGAUAGUAUAAUGAUUCCGCAUGGUUUCAUUAUUAAAGGAUUCCGGUAAAGGAUGGGGAUGCGUUCCAUUAGGUUGUUGGUGAGGUAACGGCUCACCAAGCCUUCGAUGGAUAGGGGUUCUGAGAGGAAGGUCCCCCACAUUGGAACUGAGACACGGUCCAAACUCCUACGGGAGGCAGCAGUGAGGAAUAUUGGUCAAUGGGGCCGAGAGCCUGAACCAGCCAAGUAGCGUGAAGGAUGACUGCCCUAUGGGUUGUAAACUUCUUUUAUACGGGAAUAAAGUGAGGCACGUGUGCCUUUUUGUAUGUACCGUAUGAAUAAGGAUCGGCUAACUCCGUG